UCGGGAAUAUUGCGCAAUGGAGGAAACUCUGACGCAGUGACGCCGCGUGCAGGAAGAAGGUUUUCGGAUUGUAAACUGCUUUAGACAGGGAAGAUACAAGACAGUACCUGUAGAAUAAGCUCCGGCUAACUACGUGCCAGCAGCCGCGGUAAUACGUAGGGGGCAAGCGUUAUCCGGAUUUAUUGGGUGUAAAGGGUGCGUAGACGGGAAAACAAGUUAGUUGUGAAAUCCCUCGGCUUAACUGAGGAACUGCAACUAAAACUAUUUUUCUUGAGUGCUGGAGAGGAAAGUGGAAUUCCUAGUGUAGCGGUGAAAUGCGUAGAUAUUAGGAGGAACACCAGUGGCGAAGGCGACUUUCUGGACAGUAACUGACGUUGAGGCACGAAAGUGUGGGGAGCAAACA
RNAcentral lists this ribosomal RNA (403 nucleotides) under uncultured bacterium. RNAcentral's name for it is "bacterial SSU rRNA". It matches the Rfam family "Bacterial small subunit ribosomal RNA", at positions 355 to 774 of the family's 1533-position model. The record is from RNAcentral.